GUUCGUCCGUCCGUCUGUGCGUCCGUUCGUCCGUCCGUCUGUGCGUCCGUUCGUCCGUCCGUUCGCUUCAGGUUAAAGUUUUUGGUCAAGGUAGUUUUUGAAGAAGUUGAAGUCUAAUCAACUUGAAACUUAGUACACAUGUUCCCUAUGAUAUGAUCUUUCUAAUUUUAAUUCCAAAUUAAAGUUUUGAUCCCAAUUUCACGGUCCACUGAACAUAGAAAAUGAUAGUGCGAGUGGGGC
RNAcentral lists this long non-coding RNA (240 nucleotides) under Mytilus galloprovincialis (Mediterranean mussel). Lineage: Eukaryota; Metazoa; Mollusca; Bivalvia; Mytilida; Mytilidae. The record is from RNAcentral.